UGUGAAUUUGACAUUGUGUGGCUAAAUGUUGGUACAAAAUGACUUUGUGGGACUUUUUUUGAUUGUGGGACUAGUCCCACAAAAAUGUUGAGAAAACACCAAAUUUGAAUAUAAAAUGAUGUAUUUUAUGCUUAUGCAAAAGUUGCAGAAAGUAUUAGUCCAUCAUGUUGGACAUGGGCAUUUCCAUUGGAUGGACAAGACCAUUCAAGGAAAAAUAAUUUUCAUCGUCCAAUGAAAUGACUUGUUAGUUACAAAACUAUUCAAGAAAAAAAAAGAUUGUCAUCGUCCAAUGAAAAGACUUGAAAGUUACAAAGGAAACUUUGGGUGAAGGAUGAUGUCAUAUUAAAAGAGCACAUGGCAUGAUGUCACAUUAAAAAAGCACAUGGUACCAAGGAUAGGAUUUGUACACUGAUUUAAGAGUGAAUUUGAUGAUUGUGUGGAUUUCUGCAAUUCACUGAACUUAGAUAUAGUGGAAUAUAUGCAAUUCAGACGGAUUUAAUACUUCAGAAUUUGAUGAUUGUGUGGAUUUCUGCAAUUCACUGAACUUAGAUAUAGUGGAAUAUAUGCAAUUCAGACGGAUUUAAUACUUCAGAAUUUGAUGAUUGUGUGGAUUUCUGCAAUUCACUGAACUUAGAUAUAGUGGAAUAUAUGCAAUUCAGACGGAUUUAAUACUUCAGAUUUUUUCAUUUACAAUAUGCCAAAAAGAAAAAGAAAAAGUGAUCAAGCUGAGGAUUCUCAGAUGUAUGUUUGGGCAAAGCUGAAGGCCACGCCAAUUAUGUGGCCUUCAAAGGCCAAAGGAAAUGGUCAAGUCGUAAUACUUUGUGACAAUGCUGAAUGUUCUGAAAAGGAAAAGGCUGGAUGAAACAUUGAAAAACUUUCAUAUAGAUUGUGAUGCAGUGAAGAAAUUAUACACAGACAAAAUGAAAAGAAACAAGAACCCUGUUUGUGAAUUUAAGGAAAAGAAUUG
Long non-coding RNA from Mytilus californianus (California mussel), 967 nucleotides. RefSeq lists it as uncharacterized. The record is from RefSeq and is a predicted model, not a curated record. Lineage: Eukaryota; Metazoa; Mollusca; Bivalvia; Mytilida; Mytilidae. The transcript is spliced from 8 exons.